This 76-nucleotide transfer RNA is filed under the name Shewanella oneidensis MR-1. Its description in RNAcentral is "tRNA-Val (TAC) (tRNA-Val-TAC-3-1)". It matches the Rfam family "tRNA". From Rfam's summary of the family: Transfer RNA (tRNA) molecules are approximately 80 nucleotides in length. Their secondary structure includes four short double-helical elements and three loops (D, anti-codon, and T loops). The record is from RNAcentral. Lineage: Bacteria; Pseudomonadati; Pseudomonadota; Gammaproteobacteria; Alteromonadales; Shewanellaceae.
GGUCGCUUAGCUCAGCUGGGAGAGCACCUCCCUUACAAGGAGGGGGUCAGUGAUUCGAUCCCAGUAGCGACCACCA